AUGUCGAUCUGGCGCUAGUUUUCGCAGCGGCUGAGUUUUGAGGAUACUCCAACACCAGUCAAUAAGUAAGCUCACAGUUAAACGUUUCUUCGCGAAGUGUGACUUUGGGGUUACUGUAUUUAAAAAUAAAUUCAAGCCAUAAAUGCCUUCAUAUAGCCCAGCUGUACUCAAAGUCCAUUCCAAUUGUUUGGAUACCACUGGAAAAAUGCACCAUAAAGACAAUAGCUGAGAAGGCCCAGCUGUACAGAUGGGUGCAAGGGGGACCUGCAGGAGAAUGAUGGCUGCGUCCAAUCGGAGAGGGAGGCUGCCUGCUGCGACCAAUCAGAAAGGGAGGGUGCUGGUUGGGACCAGUCGGAAAGGGUUGUGUAACCCAACGGGCUCGUCUGUGAUUGGUGGAUGUGGUCCCUGUGUACUCCUCUAUGAUUGGUGGAGUUGAUGGAAGAGGUGACCAUGUUGCCCACGGUGAUGUCAGAAACUCCUCCAGAUCAGUACAGGUGGGUUCAGGUGUGCAGGGAGGUAUGUUUGAUCCCAGACUGUGCGUGCGUGCGUGCGUGCGGGUAGAGCGAGAGAGCUCCAGUGUUUCGGCUUGCAGUGCUACAGUUCCCCAGUGUGAAGAACAGCUCAGCCUCUAAUCAGCCUCUAAAUAGCCUCUAAUCAGCCUCUAAUAAGCCUGUAAUGAGCCUCUAAGGAGCCUCUGAUGCGUUUCCUCUCUCCAGACGGAUCUGAACUCAGUCGCUGCUUUUGGGUUUCAGUCUGUCCCUCUGUCCUGUUCUCUCUUUCCUCAAGUGCCAAUAAAGACCUCAUUUUCAGUA
Anguilla rostrata (American eel) is the source of this 812-nucleotide long non-coding RNA. RefSeq lists it as uncharacterized. The record is from RefSeq and is a predicted model, not a curated record. NCBI's taxonomy places the organism in Eukaryota, Metazoa, Chordata, Actinopteri, Anguilliformes, Anguillidae. The transcript has 3 exons.